CAAAAACGAUUCCUGCCUUGAGGAACUCAUGAGCUAAUGGGGGAGACAACGAGCAAACAAAUAUGUACAAAAAUAUAUGUACAUAGGACAAAUAGGAAAUAAUCAGCAGAGAAAAAGCACUGUAAUUAAGAGAAUGCUCCCCGAGUGGCCCUCUAUUGCAAAUCCCAUCAUUCUCAGUGCUCUAAUUAAGUGAUCAGAUUGGAUAGAGCAUGAAUUGACAAGGCCCACUAAGGUGUCGGCUUUAUGUCAGGUAUGAUAUUAUCAGCACCCUGGAGACAGAACAAGGAACAAUACAUCAAAUUCAAAAGAAGCAGUUUUAUAAUAGAAGGAGGAGAAAAAGGCAGAAAGAGGUCACAGUGGAAAGAGCAAGGAGUCUGGAGCUGUCAUUCUGUGUUGGAACUCUUACUGAAGACACCACCAGAACUUCUGGCUGAGGACUACCAGGAAAUCCAUGUGGAGAUCAGAAAGCCCCUUUCAGGUCCUGAACUGGACUUCACUUUGCCAGAGAAGCACUUGGGGUUGGUAGGCUAGAUCAGGCUUUAUCUCCUUCCUAUAUUUCCCACUUUCACUAUCUCUAUCUUGUUGUAAAUAAAAGCUGCUAACAAUUCUUUUGACUUAGGGGC
Molecule: long non-coding RNA, 623 nt
Filed under: Monodelphis domestica (gray short-tailed opossum)
Lineage: Eukaryota; Metazoa; Chordata; Mammalia; Didelphimorphia; Didelphidae
Description: lncRNA (ENSMODG00000046791.1)
Source: RNAcentral